CGCGCAGGCGGUCAGAUAAGUCGAAUGUGAAAGCCCCCGGCUCAACUGGGGAGGGUCAUUCGAUACUGUUCGACUCGAAGGCAGGAGAGGGAAGCGGAAUUCCCGGUGUAGUGGUGAAAUGCGUAGAUAUCGGGAGGAACACCAGUGGCGAAGGCGGCUUCCUGGCCUGUUCUUGACGCUGAGGCGCGAAAGCUAGGGAGCAAACG
This 206-nucleotide ribosomal RNA is filed under the name uncultured bacterium. RNAcentral's name for it is "partial 16S ribosomal RNA". It matches the Rfam family "Bacterial small subunit ribosomal RNA", at positions 568 to 774 of the family's 1533-position model. The record is from RNAcentral.